AGUCCAGACUCCUACGGGAGGCAGCAGUGGGGAAUAUUGCACAAUGGGGGAAACCCUGAUGCAGCGACGCCGCGUGAGCGAUGAAGUAUUUCGGUAUGUAAAGCUCUAUCAGCAGGGAAGAAAAUGACGGUACCUGACUAAGAAGCCCCGACUAACUACGUGCCAGCAGCCGCGGUAAUACGUAGGGGGCAAGCGUUAUCCGGAUUUACUGGGUGUAAAGGGAGCGUAGACGGCAUGGCAAGUCAGAUGUGAAAGCCCGGGGCUCAACCCCGGGACUGCAUUUGAAACUGUCAGGCUGGAGUGCAGGAGAGGUAAGUGGAAUUCCUAGUGUAGCGGUGAAAUGCGUAGAUAUACGGAGGAACACCAGUGGCGAAGGCGGAUUGCUGGACAGUAACUGACGCUGAGGCGCGAAAGCGUGGGGAGCAAACAGGAUUAGAUACCCCUGUA
This 447-nucleotide ribosomal RNA is filed under the name uncultured bacterium. RNAcentral's name for it is "bacterial SSU rRNA". It matches the Rfam family "Bacterial small subunit ribosomal RNA", at positions 328 to 792 of the family's 1533-position model. The record is from RNAcentral.